UUCCAAUUCAUUAAAAAAAAAAAAAUCAAAAAAGAAAAACAAAAUCUACUAUAGAGACUCAAAUAUUAGAGCUCCAUCUUCAACUUGGUGAGCGCAGUGAACAAACACAACUGAACUCAUUCAUCAAUUUCUGGGUUUUUUCUCUCAGCCUUCAGGUAUUUUGCAGAUUAAUUUAGGAGAGAGAAAAUGGGAGGAGACGGUGGUCAUGUCGAUGGAGGAGACUUUAGGUCUAAGGUGUGGAGUUUUUCAGGUGGGCCCAAUUGCCGUCCCAAGCAUUGGCGUCGUAAUACCGUCUUCGCUCUCGCCGGCAUUUUUCUCGUUUGUGUUCCCAUUGCCAUGAAAUCUGCUCAGCUUGAGCAACGACCUCAUCAGCCUGUCCGCUCCAUUCCAUCACAGAUGUGGUGCAAGAACUUUGGGAACAAAGAUUAUUAGAGCUGCUUCAAUAUGUCAAUUCUGUACCGCAAAGUGUUUUAAUUCUUAAAUCAUGGACAAGUUUCUCUAUAAUAUUUUGCUCUUCAGCUGAGUAGCUCUGUAUGCUCACCUUUGAGGUAAUCUCAAUAAAAUUGAAAUUGAGUGGAUAAGCAUUGUUUUGUAGUUUACAUGAGAUGGAAACUCCUUUCUCUAUUCUGCCAGUUUUUAACAAUGUUUGGAAUGAUUCUCGAGCUGUAUAAUUGAAGUUUCAUAUUAUCUCUAUCAAUUUAGUUCA
Molecule: long non-coding RNA, 706 nt
Organism: Chenopodium quinoa (quinoa)
Lineage: Eukaryota; Viridiplantae; Streptophyta; Magnoliopsida; Caryophyllales; Amaranthaceae
Exons: 3
Source: RefSeq, a predicted model, not a curated record